This 468-nucleotide ribosomal RNA is filed under the name uncultured bacterium. RNAcentral's name for it is "partial 16S ribosomal RNA". It matches the Rfam family "Bacterial small subunit ribosomal RNA", at positions 28 to 507 of the family's 1533-position model. The record is from RNAcentral.
GACGAACGCUGGCGGCGUGCUUAACACAUGCCAGUCGAACGGAAAGGCCCUGCUUUUGUGGGGUGCUCGAGUGGCGAACGGGUGAGUAACACGUGAGUAACCUGCCCUUGACUUUGGGAUAACUUCAGGAAACUGGGGCUAAUACCGGAUAGGAGCUCCUGCUGCAUGGUGGGGGUUGGAAAGUUUCGGCGGUUGGGGAUGGACUCGCGGCUUAUCAGCUUGUUGGUGGGGUAGUGGCUUACCAAGGCUUUGACGGGUAGCCGGCCUGAGAGGGUGACCGGCCACAUUGGGACUGAGAUACGGCCCGGACUCCUACGGGAGGCAGCAGUGGGGAAUAUUGCACAAUGGGCGGAAGCCUAAUGCAGCAACGCCGCGUGCGGGAUAACGGCCUUCGGGUUGUAGACCGCUUUCGCCUGUGACGAAGCGUGAGUGACGGUAAUGGGUAAAGAAGCACCGGCUAACUACGUG